UUACUGCUAAGUGGUUUACAGAGCCAAAACCAUUCUCAGCGAAGUGCCCAAGGAGCUGGGAGGGAACAGAAUUAGAACAGCUGACUUUCACUGGUUAGAGGGAUAUCUCAUACCAUAUGACAUCCAGCAGAAGGAGUUUUGAAGGAGGUAGGAGUUCAUCUCUCUCUUCUGCUGCUCGGGAGGCUAGCUGGGAAUCAAUCGUUCACUUCCUUCCCGUGCAUGUCCAGCUGAGCUUUGAAAGUUGCUCAGUAGAUUCCACAGAAUCACAAAAUUGUAGGAGCUGGAAAGGACCUCCAGAGAUCAUCAAAAUAAGCUCAGUGUAGCAUGAUUCAUAGCGUACUGUUGAUACCCUGCACCUUCUGCUUAAAAUAAGGACUCCUUCCAAUUAUGAAAAAUAUCAUAUUAAUUGAGCUACAUUUUGCAUGAUUAUUCCCUGGGAAGAUGAGAACUUCUUGCUUCACUGUACCGUAAGAAUUCAUCUGGAACAGAUCCAAUUAGGAGUGACUUUAUGGUAUACAGAGACACUGGUCUGAUGAAUUUCUAAUGUCAAACAUAUAUGCUUUACAGCAGCAUUUAUUGGUAGCUAGCACUACUCACAUCUAGUUCCAAAAGUCUGUCUCAGGUACUGCAAUUGGUGGAUGGAAUAAGGACUUGUUAUGGGAGUCUUUUGGAGUGUAGCAAGCAAUACCUAUGUACAAAUAGUUACAAGAUUUGAAGCUCCAAAACAGCAAGCCAGCGAGGAUGAUUAUCUCAUUCAUUUCCUGUAGUUGCUGACAAGUCAGCAUGAUAGCACUGUCUCUCUAUGCUUAGGGAGAGGCCUGUCCCGUACAUCCCUCACCCCCACAAGACGCCUACUACAACAGGGUGCGUGGAUGUAGAGCCAUUGCCCAGGCAAUGCCCACACUGCGUCAGCUGCUCUCACGAGAGCUGCCGGGUUGCUGUUAUCUCAGGGUUCCCUGGAUGAAAGAACCAACCGUAAC
This is a long non-coding RNA of Gallus gallus (chicken), 980 nucleotides long. The record is from Ensembl. Lineage: Eukaryota; Metazoa; Chordata; Aves; Galliformes; Phasianidae.